CAGUCGCCGCGGGAAUACGAAGGGUGCAAGCGUUAAUCGGAAUUACUGGGCGUAAAGCGCACGCAGGCGGUUUGUUAAGUCAGAUGUGAAAUCCCCGAGCUUAACUUGGGAACUGCAUUUGAAACUGGCAAGCUAGAGUCUUGUAGAGGGGGGUAGAAUUCCAGGUGUAGCGGUGAAAUGCGUAGAGACCUGGAGGAAUACCGGUGGCGAAGGCGGCCCCCUGGACAAAGACUGACGCUCAGGUGCGAAAGCGUGGGGAGCAAACAGGAUUAGAUACCCCAGUAGUCCCUGUCUCUUAUAC
This 301-nucleotide ribosomal RNA is filed under the name uncultured bacterium. RNAcentral's name for it is "partial 16S ribosomal RNA". It matches the Rfam family "Bacterial small subunit ribosomal RNA", at positions 509 to 807 of the family's 1533-position model. The record is from RNAcentral.